RNAcentral lists this transfer RNA (75 nucleotides) under Gammaproteobacteria bacterium. RNAcentral's name for it is "tRNA-His". It matches the Rfam family "tRNA". From Rfam's summary of the family: Transfer RNA (tRNA) molecules are approximately 80 nucleotides in length. Their secondary structure includes four short double-helical elements and three loops (D, anti-codon, and T loops). Further hydrogen bonds mediate the characteristic L-shaped molecular structure. tRNAs have two regions of fundamental functional importance: the anti-codon, which is responsible for specific mRNA codon recognition, and the 3' end, to which the tRNAs corresponding amino acid is attached (by aminoacyl-tRNA synthetases). tRNAs cope with the degeneracy of the genetic code in two manners: having more than one tRNA (with a specific anti-codon) for a particular amino acid; and 'wobble' base-pairing, i.e. permitting non-standard base-pairing at the 3rd anti-codon position. The record is from RNAcentral. Lineage: Bacteria; Pseudomonadati; Pseudomonadota; Gammaproteobacteria.
GCGGCUUUAGCUUAAUAGAAAAGCACCUGGUUGUGACCCAGGACGAUACGAGUGCAAAUCUCGUCGGUCGCCCCA